This 420-nucleotide ribosomal RNA is filed under the name uncultured bacterium. RNAcentral describes it as "bacterial SSU rRNA". It matches the Rfam family "Bacterial small subunit ribosomal RNA", at positions 29 to 436 of the family's 1533-position model. The record is from RNAcentral.
GCGAACGUUAGCGGCGGGCCUAACACAUGCAAGUCGAGCGAGAAAAGGGCUUCGGCUCUUAGUAAAGCGGCGGACGGGUGAGUAUGACGUAGGUAACCUUCCUUCGAGCGGGGGACAACGGUCCGAAAGGACCGCUAAUACCGCAUACGUUCCCAGGGACUCCGGUCUCUGGGAGGAAAGCUAGGGUAGCAAUACUCCGGCACUCGAAGCGGGGCCUACGCCGCAUCAGCUAGUUGGUGGGGUAAUGGCCUACCAAGGCUAAGACGCGUAGCUGGUCUGAGAGGAUGAUCAGCCACACUGGGACUGAGACACGGCCCAGACUCCUACGGAGGCAGCAGUGGGGAAUAUUGGACAAUGGGCGCAAGCCUGAUCCAGCCACGCCGCGUGAGUGAUGAAGGCCUUCGGGUCGUAAAGCUCUGU